This 254-nucleotide ribosomal RNA is filed under the name uncultured bacterium. RNAcentral's name for it is "partial 16S ribosomal RNA". It matches the Rfam family "Bacterial small subunit ribosomal RNA", at positions 524 to 776 of the family's 1533-position model. The record is from RNAcentral.
UACGUAGGGGGCGAGCGUUGUCCGAAGUUACUGGGCGUAAAGCGCGCGUAGGCGGGUUGGCAAGUCUGCUGUGAAAGCCCGGGGCUUAACUCCGGAGGGUCGGUGGAUACUGCCAGUCUUGAAGGUGCUAGGGAGAGAUGGAAUUACCGGUGUAGCGGUGAAAUGCGUAGAUAUCGGUAGGAACACCAGUGGCGAAGGCGGUCUCUUGGGGCAUUCUUGACGCUGAGGCGCGAAAGCUGGGGGGAGCGAACGGG